AUCAGGCCCAUCGCCAUUUUGCCCGGAAGAGGAUUUGUGUUCGCGCAUGCGCACUCAGAACCGCAACCCCGCGGGAGGAGGCCCUUUUGGAAGUGGGCCUGAAGCCAGAGCUGUCGCCGCCCAUCAGGUGGCAAACGAGAGUGGAGCUUGGUGGCCAUAUUUGAAGUGGGCUCCCAAGCAACCCUGAAGGCAGCCUCCCUAAGGAAGAGUGGGUGAGUGGCAGCUCCCGGAAAGUGAGCAUGGGCAGAGCAGCUCCUGCGGCCAGAGAAGCCCACAUGUUUCUUUGAGAUGCAAUGUCAGAAGUCUCUGGUGUUGAAAAGUGACAGGGUUUUGCUAUGUUACCCAGG
This is a long non-coding RNA of Lemur catta (Ring-tailed lemur), 347 nucleotides long. RefSeq lists it as uncharacterized. NCBI's taxonomy places the organism in Eukaryota, Metazoa, Chordata, Mammalia, Primates, Lemuridae. The transcript is spliced from 3 exons. The record is from RefSeq and is a predicted model, not a curated record.